UGCCUCUGUGGCGGAAUUGGCAGACGCGCUGGACUCAAAAUCCAGUUCCCGUUGAGGGAGUGUGGGUUCGACCCCCACCGGAGGCAU
Molecule: transfer RNA, 87 nt
Filed under: Limosilactobacillus reuteri
Lineage: Bacteria; Bacillati; Bacillota; Bacilli; Lactobacillales; Lactobacillaceae
Also listed under: 4 other names
Description: tRNA-Leu
Rfam family: tRNA
About the family: Transfer RNA (tRNA) molecules are approximately 80 nucleotides in length.
Source: RNAcentral